Molecule: regulatory RNA element, 65 nt
Rfam family: Ribosomal protein L13 leader
About the family: This family is a putative r-protein leader autoregulatory structure found in B. subtilis and other low-GC Gram-positive bacteria. It is located in the 5' untranslated regions of mRNAs encoding the L13-S9 (rplM-rpsI) ribosomal protein operon.
Source: Rfam
GGUAUAAUUUUAUAUCAUUCCCAUGAUAAGCCCCGGAAACUUAUUGUGAAGUGUAUAUAGAGUAA